UACGGCCAUAUCACGUUGUAACACCAGUUCCUGUACGGUCACCAAAGUUAAGCAAUGUCGAGCUUGGUCAGUAUCAAUGUGCGUGACUGCUUCGGAAUACCAGGUGC
Non-coding RNA from Acanthosepion pharaonis, 107 nucleotides. The record is from the annotation of a GenBank genome assembly. NCBI's taxonomy places the organism in Eukaryota, Metazoa, Mollusca, Cephalopoda, Sepiida, Sepiidae.